UACGACUACAUAUCAGGCAUAUCAAUAAGCGGAGGAAAAGAAACUAACUAGGAUUCCCUCAGUAACGGCGAGUGAAGCGGGAAGAGCUCAAAUUUGAAAUCUUCAAGGUUUUACCUUGACGAAUUGUAGUUUAAAGAAGUGUUUUCUGUUGGAUGUUUUGGUAAAAGUUCUUUGGAAUAGGACAUCAUAGAGGGUGAGAAUCCCGUAUUUGACCAUUAUUUCCAACUUUGUGAUACACUUUCAAAGAGUCGGAUUGUUUGGGAAUGCAGUCCAAAAUGGGUGGUAAAUUUCAUCUAAAGCUAAAUACUGGCGAGAGACCGAUAGCGAACAAGUACCGUGAGGGAAAGAUGAAAAGAACUUUGAAAAGAGAGUUAAACAGUACGUGAAAUUGUCAAAAGGGAAGCGUUUGACACCAGUGUUGUUUUCUCGAAAAUCAAUUAAAAAUGGUGGGAUUUUGUGUUGUAUUGACUUUAUCAGCUUUCUGCACUCUUUUCCUUAUCCUUUUUAAUGCACUUUUCGUUUAACAAGUCAACAUCAAUUUCUUUUGUUGUAAAAGGGUCAUUGGAAGGUGGCUUUCUUUUCGGAGAAAGUGUUUAUAGCCUUUGGCCUCUGCAAUCGGAGAGAUUGAGGUCUGCAGCGUAGAUCCUUCGGGGUUAGAUACAUUUGUGCUAAGUUAUAGCCUUUCAUAGACAACUUGUUGACUAUGAUCAGUCAUGUAGCUUACUCGCUUAUGCUAUUUUACCUACGCUUAGGAUGUUGACGCGCGUGUGUGCGUG
This 776-nucleotide ribosomal RNA is filed under the name uncultured Neocallimastigales. Its description in RNAcentral is "partial large subunit ribosomal RNA". It matches the Rfam family "Eukaryotic large subunit ribosomal RNA", at positions 24 to 637 of the family's 3401-position model. Lineage: Eukaryota; Fungi; Neocallimastigomycota; Neocallimastigomycetes; Neocallimastigales. The record is from RNAcentral.